AAUUUAUAUAGUUUAACACUAUAAAACACUACAUUUUCACUGUAGAAAUAAAGAAAACUUUUAUAAAUA
Molecule: transfer RNA, 69 nt
Filed under: Periplaneta lateralis (Turkestan cockroach)
Lineage: Eukaryota; Metazoa; Arthropoda; Insecta; Blattodea; Blattidae
Description: Shelfordella lateralis (Turkestan cockroach) tRNA-Glu
Rfam family: tRNA
About the family: Transfer RNA (tRNA) molecules are approximately 80 nucleotides in length. Their secondary structure includes four short double-helical elements and three loops (D, anti-codon, and T loops).
Source: RNAcentral